UCGCAGGGCGGGGCUGGUGGCUACUAGGCGGAGACUCCCUAAGGAGUAUUCCACCCGGGACUGUCUCGUUCUAAGGGACGUGCUAGCCGGGAUGGCCCUGAGCGACGAGCUUGCGAUGGGUACAGCCGACGAGGCAGAGGACGACGCAUCAACCCGCGGCGCAGCCCUGGAAGCGUUCAGCGAGAGCGAGGAGACCCGCGCGCUGCUCGGCCGCCUGCAGGCGGUGCACGGCGAGCGCAGGGCGCGGGAGGUGGUGGAGGAGCGGUUCCGCGUAAUAUUGGACAAAUAUCAGGAGCAGCCUCACCUGUUGGAUCCACACCUUGAGUGGAUGAUGAACUUGUUGCUGGACAUAGUGCAGGACAGGACCUCACCUGGCACCCUUGUACAUCUGGCUUUUAAAUUUCUGUACAUCAUCACCAAGGUUCGAGGAUAUAAAAUAUUUCUUCGUUUAUUUCCUCAUGAAGUAGCUGAUGUGCAGCCUGUGUUAGAUAUGAUCUCAGAGCAGAACCCCGCAGACCAUGAGACGUGGGAGACCCGCUACAUGCUUUUACUGUGGCUCUCUAUGACCUGCUUGAUCCCUUUCGACCUUUCACGCCUUGAUGGGAACUUGAGCACCGAGGUGGGGCAGGCCCAGAAGCCCAUCAUGGACCGCAUUCUGCAGAUAGCAGAGUCCUACUUGCUUGUCAGUGACAAAGCUCGAGAUGCGGCUGCUGUCCUGGUGUCUAGGUUUAUCACACGCCCUGAUGUCAAGCAGAGGAAGAUGGCCGGGUUCCUGGACUGGAGCCUCAGCACCUUGGCCCGCUCCUCCUUCCACACCAUCGAUGGAGUCAUUGCCAUAGACGGGACACUGCAGGCUCUGGCACAAAUAUUUAAACAUGGGAAACGUGAAGACUGUCUCCCCUAUGCUGCUGUUGUGCUGCAGUGCCUGGACAACUGCAGGCUCCCUGAGAGCAACCAGACCCUACUGCGAAAGCUGGCUGUGAAGCUGGUGCAGCGGCUGGGGCUGACCUUCCUGAAGCCAAAGGUAGCUGCCUGGAGGUACCAGCGUGGUUCCCGAUCCUUGGCUGCUAACCUGCAGCUCUGCCCCCUGGCUCCAAAUGAGCUGAAGCUACCUGCUGCGACGUGUGAUGGAGACGAGGACUAUGAUGUCCCAGAAGGGGUAGAGAGUGUCAUAGAGCAGCUUCUGGGUGGCCUGAAGGACAGAGACACGGUGGUGCGCUGGUCUGCAGCCAAAGGAAUCGGCAGGAUGGCAGGGCGGCUUCCCCGAGAGCUGGCCGAUGAUGUGGUUGGAUCUGUACUGGACUGCCUCAGUUUUCAGGAGACGGACAAGGCGUGGCACGGUGGAUGUCUGGCACUGGCGGAACUGGGCAGGCGAGGCCUGUUGCUUCCAUCACGACUCUCAGAGGUGGUUGCUGUGAUCCUGAGGGCUGUGACCUAUGAGGAGAAGCGAGGAGCCUGCAGUGUGGGUGCCAACGUCAGGGAUGCCGCCUGCUACGUGUGCUGGGCCUUUGCACGUGCCUAUGACCCGCAGGAGCUAUCACCCUUUGUGGCUGCCAUUGCCAGUGCCCUGGUCAUCGCAGCAGUAUUUGACCGGAAUGUGAACUGCAGGAGAGCUGCUUCAGCUGCCUUCCAGGAGAAUGUGGGGAGACAGGGUACCUUCCCUCAUGGAAUCGAUAUCGUGACCACAGCAGACUACUUUGCAGUUGGCAACACCGCUAACUGUUUCCUUGUUAUAAGCGUGUCCAUUGCCAGCUUCUCCGAGUAUACCCAGCCAAUGAUCGACCACCUGGUUGCCAUGAAAAUCAGCCACUGGGACGGGGCCAUCCGAGAACUGUCAGCCAAGGCACUGCAUCGGCUCACCCCACAAGCACCUCAGUACUUCGCCACGCACGUGCUCCCUGCCCUGCUGCCCAUGACGCUGAGUCCAGAUCUGCACAUGCGGCACGGCGCCAUUCUUGGCUGUGCAGAGGUCACCUACGCCUUGUACAAGCUGGCAGUGCAGGGGGACAGGUCACUCACAGACUACCUGGAUGAGAAGGUGGUGCAGGGCCUGAGGCAGAUCCACCAGCAGCUCUCUGACCGUCACCUGUACAGGGGCGGUGGAGGAGAACUCAUGAGACAAGCAGUGUGUGUCCUGAUAGAGAACCUGUCACUCUCCAGAAUGCCCUUCAAAGGUGAACCUGUCAUUGAUGGCUGGCAGUGGCUGAUAGAUGACACACUGAGAAACCUCCACCUCGUCUCAAGCCAGUCCAGACAGCAGAUCAAGGACGCAGCUGUGUCGGCUCUGGCUGCUGUCUGCAACGAGUACUAUCAGAAGGAGCCCCGGGCGGCCAGUCCCACCAUCCAGGAGGUGCUCAUCCCGAGGUACCUUGUCGAGCUCCAGAGCCCAGAGGAGAUGGUUCGCUGUGGCUUUGCAUCCGCCCUAGGCGCCCUGCCCGACUUCCUCCUUCGAGGCCGGCUCCGACAGGUCCUGGAUGGUCUGAGCGUGGUCACCCGCACCUCCCCAAAGGACAUGGCCUUCGCCGAGGCUAGGAGGGACAGCUUGAGGGCCAUCUCUAGGAUCUGCCAGACUGUGGGCGUGAAGGCAGAAGCCGCCCCAGACGAAGCUGUGUGCAGACAGAAUGUUGCCCAGGUGUACACCACGCUGCUGGGCUGCAUGGGAGACUACACCACAGACAGCAGGGGUGACGUGGGGGCCUGGGUCCGCGAGGCCGCUAUGACGAGCCUAAUGGACCUGACAUUGCUGCUGGCGCGGACACAGCCCUCACUGAUCGAGGCCCGCAUCUGUGAGCAAGUCAUGUGCUGCAUGGCCCAGCAGGCAAGUGAGAAGAUCGACCGGUUCCGUGCUCAUGCUGCCCGUGUGUUCCUCAUGCUUCUGUACUGCGACGGCACCCCUGUGCCCCAUGUGCCCCACCGCAGGGAACUGGAAGCGCUGCUCCCCAGGUCCGACGUGGCCACUGUGAACUGGAACGCACCUUCCCAGGCCUUCCCACGCAUCACCCAGCUCCUGGGGCUGCCCACCUACCGCUACCAUGUGCUGCUGGGGCUGGCCGUGUCUGUGGGUGGCCUGACUGAGUCCACGGUCAAGCACUCCACCCAGAGCCUUUUCAAGUAUAUGAAGGGGAUUCAGCAGGACCCCCAGGCCCUGGGCAGCUUCAGUGAUACCCUCCUGCAGGUCUUUGAGGACAACCUCCUGAAUGACAGAGUGUCUGUGUCGCUGCUGAAGAUGCUGGAUCAGAUGCUGUCCAAUGGCUGCUUUGACAUCUUCACCAGGGAGGAGAACCACCCGUUCUGUGUGAAGUUGCUUGCGCUCUGUAAAGAAGAGAUUAAGAAGUCGAAAGACAUCCAGAAACUUCGGUCCAGCAUUGCAGUGCUCUGUGGGAUGGUGCAGUUCUGUGGUGAUGUGAGAAGGAAGGUGCUUCUGCAGCUGAUGCUGCUCCUCUGCCAUCCGUUCCCUGUGAUCCGGAAGGCCACGGCAAGCCAGGUGUAUGAGAUGGUGCUCACCUACAGCGGUGUGCUGAGUGCUGAUGUCCUGGAUGAGGUCAUGGCUGUGCUCAGCGACACAGCCUGGGAUGCCGAGCUCGCAGUUGUCAGAGGGCAGCGGAAUCGCUUGUGUGACCUCCUCGGUGUGCCCACACCCCAGCUGGUCCCUAAGGGAGGUUCUAUAGGCAGGGGAUGCUGUUUCCUGCUUAAAGCUUUGGUUUUCCUUUCCCUUGGUUUCCCCUGAGGGCUAAGCCCUGCUAAGUGCCUCCUUAUGCCUGCGGAUCAUUUUGCAGCCCUGCUGGACAUCUUUUUUCACUUGUUUUAGCAAGUUUUCACAUUAAAGCCUGGAGCCCCCUGAAGCUGGUCCAGUAUUGAGCUGUUGUGCCUGCCGAGCAGGAACAUCCCGAUCUGAUGCUGCUGACUGGCCUGGUUCUGGGUGCUGAUGUCCACAGAGGGCCACGCCUCUUCUUCACACGCACAUGUCUGCUGUUGCCUCACACAAAUGUGCUUCCCAUAAACCAUAUUUCAAACAGC
Octodon degus (degu) is the source of this 4017-nucleotide RNA transcript. It is a transcript of the gene named tubulin folding cofactor D, with no coding region annotated. The record is from RefSeq and is a predicted model, not a curated record. NCBI's taxonomy places the organism in Eukaryota, Metazoa, Chordata, Mammalia, Rodentia, Octodontidae. The transcript has 40 exons.